This is a non-coding RNA of Microcebus murinus (gray mouse lemur), 760 nucleotides long. The record is from RefSeq and is a predicted model, not a curated record. Lineage: Eukaryota; Metazoa; Chordata; Mammalia; Primates; Cheirogaleidae.
AGGGAAAAGGUACGAAUGCUCUGGACUUAGAGUCUUCUGUCACUCAUUCAUAUAUGCAUCGUGUUAUAUGGAACUAAGAAUGUCCAGAGAAGUUUUCCAGAAUAAUACAGGAACACCACAGGACAGCAGGUGAGAGGCAUUCAGCAGGAACGGAGCUGCUCUUAUUUUUAGAACUAUAUGGAACAAUAUAGAUAGAUGGGCAACUACGAGUGUGGGAAACUUAAUUCCGCAGGGGAGAAUCCUUUGACAAAAGGGAUAUGGAAGCUUGAGUUGUGUAAUGAAAAUAAAUAGGAUAUAAAUGAUCUAAGACUCCUUAUGAACCUAACUUCCAGAAAGGGACAAUCUGAAAGUAUAUUUCUAGCAUGCUGCCACAACAGAACUUGGAAGAGGUUAGAUGUAAACAAAAGUAAAGUGGAAAUCACUGGCACAGAUCUAAAAUCCAGUCUUAUUAGGACUCUCUUCUGAGGUUCUACCACCAGCAACUUAGAGCAUUCACCAGUUUUCUCACAAAGGGGGCAAAGACUCCAUCGAUUUUGAAGCGAGAUCAGCAUGCAGAUAAGAUUUUUAGAUCAUAUUGAAAAAUGAAAAAUUGGACUCCUCAUCACUCUUUCCCAAGAGAGGAAAGCUGCAGUCAGCAGAGCCAAGGAAAGAAAGCACCAGUGAAAAAAAUACAGAAACCCAGGGAACAGCAGCAUUAUCUUUGUAGACUUUGUGCACCCAAGAUCAAAACAGUUGGCCAAUUUCAUCAGCUCCUUUAAAC